This is a long non-coding RNA of Gekko japonicus, 605 nucleotides long. RefSeq lists it as uncharacterized. The record is from RefSeq and is a predicted model, not a curated record. Lineage: Eukaryota; Metazoa; Chordata; Lepidosauria; Squamata; Gekkonidae. The transcript is spliced from 4 exons.
UCCUUUUCUGAUUGGUGAAUAGCUCACCCCAACCAUGAUGGGCAGUGCUGAUGGGGUGUGUGUGUGUGCCCCGUAGCCAGGAGAUUCCAGCGGGACCUUAGAGACCAACUGCGUUUAUUCCCGUUGAAGCUUCCGUGAGUCGGAGCGCGCAACUCUGGGUACAAGACAGACAAUUGAGGAUUUCCUCCAUCGCACUGAAAAUGGAUGGAGCCCUUACUUGCCAUGCUCUCUGUGCUUCAUUUGCUACAGGUACCGUCAAGAUAGUCAUCAUAGCAGUGCCAGCCGCUACAGUUCCAUGCAUCUGUGCAGCCGUUGUAGUGGCCGCUGUUGCAUACGCUGCUGUGAAAAUAUACCAAUGUUCCAAGAAUUAAUAGCCUAAUGCUUCACAAAAGUGUCCUCUGCCGACCAUGUUGCUGCCUUGUAGAUGUCCAGGAGAGGCACUCGUUGAUGGAAUACAGCUGAUGACCCUUGCACUUGCAUGGAAUGUACCUUGACAUCAAGAGGACACGGUUCUUCUCCAGCUACCUUGUAGCAGGAACUAAUGGCAGUUGCUACCCAUCUAUACUGACACAGCUUUCCCCUUUUUGCGACCCCAGUAACAAAUA